UUGAAUAACUAUGGUGGGUUGUUGCUGGCUUCUUGAAGCAUGUGCACACCUGCUGUCUUUAUCUAUCCCAUUGUGCACCAUCUGUAGUCUUGGAAGGAAAAAGCAGUCAAGCUCCUCUAGUGGGAGUUUUGUUGUCCUCCUUUCCAAGUCUAUGUCUUUUCCACAAACAUUGUAGUAUGUUACAGAAUGUAAUCAAGGGGCCUCUGUGCCUAUAUAGAAAUCUAUA
Molecule: unclassified non-coding RNA, 226 nt
Filed under: uncultured Lepiota
Lineage: Eukaryota; Fungi; Basidiomycota; Agaricomycetes; Agaricales; Agaricaceae
Description: sequence contains ITS1
Source: RNAcentral